RNAcentral lists this ribosomal RNA (499 nucleotides) under uncultured bacterium. Its description in RNAcentral is "partial 16S ribosomal RNA". It matches the Rfam family "Bacterial small subunit ribosomal RNA", at positions 28 to 507 of the family's 1533-position model. The record is from RNAcentral.
GACGAACGCUGGCGGCGUGCUUAACACAUGCAAGUCGAACGGGCCCGCCCCUGUUUUUGGGGGUGGGUUGAGUGGCGAACGGGUGAGUAUCACGUGAGUAACCUGCCCCCUGCUCCUGGAUAACUGCUUGAAAGGGCGGCUAAUACGGGGUGUGCCGGCUGGUCCGCAUGGGCCUGGUCGGGAUAGUUUCAUCUUCGGGUGUUUCGGUGGGGGAUGGGCUCGCGGCCUAUCAGCUUGUUGGUGGGGUGAUGGCGCACCAAGGCGGUGAAGGGUAGCCGGGCUGGGAGGGUGGGCGGCCAAACUGGGACGGAGCCACGGCCCAGCCUCCGGCGGGAGGCAGCAGUGGGGGGUAUUGCCCAAUGGGCGGAAGCCUGAUGCAGCGGCGUCGCGUGAGGGAUGGAGGCCUUCGGGUGGUGAACCUCUUUCUCCGGUGGGGAAGGCCCUGUCCGUUGCGGCGGGGUUGACGGUAGCCGGGGAUGAAGCGCCGGCUAACUACGUG